This 515-nucleotide ribosomal RNA is filed under the name uncultured bacterium. RNAcentral describes it as "bacterial SSU rRNA". It matches the Rfam family "Bacterial small subunit ribosomal RNA", at positions 974 to 1486 of the family's 1533-position model. The record is from RNAcentral.
CCUAAGCCUGACAUCCUUUUCGACCCGAUGCCUAAUCGCAUCUUUUCCCUUCGGGGACAGAAGUGACAGGUGGCUGCAUGGUUGUCGUCAGCUCGUGUCGUGAGAUGUUGGGUUAAGUCCCGCAACGAGCGCAACCCUUGCCUUUAGUUGCCAGCAUUAAGUUGGGCACUCUAGAGGGACUGCCAGGGAUAACCUGGAGGAAGGUGGGGAUGACGUCAAAUCAUCAUGCCCCUUAUGCUUAGGGCUACACACGUGCUACAAUGGGUGGUACAGAGGGCAGCCAAGUCGUGAGGCGGAGCUAAUCCCUUAAAGCCAUUCUCAGUUCGGAUUGUAGGCUGAAACUCGCCUACAUGAAGCUGGAGUUACUAGUAAUCGCAGAUCAGAUGCUGCGGUGAAUGCGUUCCCGGGUCUUGUAGACACCGCCCGUCACACCACGGGAGUUGGGGGCGCCCGAAGCCGGAUUGCUAACCUUUUGGAAGCGUCCGUCGAAGGUGAAAUCAAUAUUAGGGUGAAGU